This 419-nucleotide ribosomal RNA is filed under the name bacterium. RNAcentral describes it as "partial 16S ribosomal RNA". It matches the Rfam family "Bacterial small subunit ribosomal RNA", at positions 355 to 776 of the family's 1533-position model. The record is from RNAcentral.
UGGGGGAUAUUGCACAAUGGGCGAAAGCCUGAUGCAGCGACGCCGCGUGGGGGAUGAAGGCCUUCGGGUUGUAAACUUCUUUUGCUCUGAACAAGGCGCACCAUGGGGUGUGUUGAGUGUAGGGGUUGAUUAGCGCCGGCUAACUACGUGCCAGCAGCCGCGGUCAUACGUAGGGCGCGAGCGUUGUCCGGAAUUAUUGGGCGUAAAGGGCUUGUAGGUGGCUGGUUGCGUCUGUCGUGAAAGCUCAUGGCUUAACUGUGGGUUUGCGGUGGGUACGGGCUGGCUUGAGUGCAGUAGGGGAGGCUGGAAUUCCUGGUGUAGCGGUGGAAUGCGCAGAUAUCAGGAAGAAUACCGGUGGCGAAGGCGGGUCUCUGGGCUGUUACUGACACUGAGGAGCGAAAGCAUGGGGAGCGAACAGG